AUUUUAGCGUCUGAUGAAAGAAUAGUAUUGAUAGUACUAAAUAUGUAGUUAUUCUACCUAAAAUU
This 65-nucleotide transfer RNA is filed under the name Pylocheles mortensenii. Its description in RNAcentral is "tRNA-Ile". The record is from RNAcentral. Lineage: Eukaryota; Metazoa; Arthropoda; Malacostraca; Decapoda; Pylochelidae.